Molecule: RNA transcript, 1646 nt
Organism: Mus pahari (shrew mouse)
Lineage: Eukaryota; Metazoa; Chordata; Mammalia; Rodentia; Muridae
Gene name: tubby-related protein 3 pseudogene
Exons: 1
Source: RefSeq, a predicted model, not a curated record
CCUGUGGGGUUCCCAUCCCCUUCAGGGCCUUCAAUCCUUCCCCUAACUCUUCCAUAAGAGUCCCUGACCACGCCGAUGCCACCAGUUGGGCGGGUAUGGAGGCGGUGCUCUGGGCACCUGGACCCUGCGGGGACAGUUGAUUGGCAGGGAAGGAGCCCGGGAGCCCCUAGUUCUCCUGCCCUAGGAAGAGAAUGCAGAGCAAGCUGUUUAAGAAAUUAAACAUCCUGGCAAUGUACAAUACCUUUGAAGAUGAGAGCCUGAGGCUUCGGCAGCUGAAGCUGGACAAUCAGAGGGCACUGCUGGAGAAGAAGCAGAGAAAGAAGCGCCUUGAGCCACUCAUGGUACAACCAAACCCAGAAGCCAGGCUGUGAAGGUUAAAGCCAAGCGGUAGUGAGGAACACACGCCGCUGGUGGACCCUCAGACACCUCGCAGCAAUGUCAUCCUACACACGGUCCAGCUGCUUUCCUUAAGCCAGAGGCUCAGGAUUUGGAAAGCAAGCUUCAGGUUCUCUCUGUGGGCUCCCCUACUCCAGGAGAAGGCACAGAAGGGAGUGCAGAUGGGGAAAGCCCUGUGGAGACAGCCUCCAAGCCAGACUUUCAGGAGAUUCUCCAAAAACAGGGCAUCUUGAGUAGUGUGAACUAUGAUGAGGAGGAGCCUGACAAGGAGGAAGAUGAGGGGGGAAACCUGAGCUCCCCGUUGGCUCACUCAGAGGAGAGUGCUGCAGCCAGCCAGAAAGCAGCCUUGGAGACAGGAGCUUCCAGUGUGACAGCCCAGCAGGGUGACACACAGCUCAGAGAAGUGGAGAACUUAGAGGACUUUGCAUAUAGCCCUGCCCCUCGGGGUGUCACGGUGAAGUGUAGAGUAACCAGGGAUAAGAAAGGCAUGGACCGUGGCCUCUUCCCCACCUACUAUAUGUACUUGGAGAAGGAGGAGAACUGCAAGAUAUUUCUUCUAGCCGGUAGGAAGCAGAAAAAGAGCAAAACAUCCAACUACCUGUUCUCCACAGACCCGACAGAUUUGUCUCGUGAAGGGGAAAGCUACAUUGGCAAACUCAGAUCCAAUCUCAUGGGGACCAAGUUCACAGUGUAUGACCAUGGUGUCAACCCAGUCAAGGCCCAGGGUCUCGUGGAGAAGGCCCACACCUGGCAGGAGCUGGCUGCUAUCUGUUAUGAAACAAAUGUCCUCGAUUUCAAAGGUCCCAGGAAAAUGUCCGUGAUCAUCCCGGGGAUGAACAUGAACCAUGAGCGCAUCCCUUUUCGGCCACGAAAUGAACAUGAGAGCCUGCUUUCAAAAUGGCAAAACAAAUCCAUGGAGAACCUGAUUGAACUGCACAACAAGGCCCCGGUGUGGAAUGAUGACACCCAGUCCUACAUCCUGAACUUUCACGGCAGAGUCACCCAGGCAUCUGUGAAGAUCUUCCAGAUAGUCCACGGGAAUGACCCUGACUACAUAGUCAUGCAGUUCGGACGCGUGGCUGAUGACGUGUUCACACUGGACUAUAACUACCCACUGUGCGCACUUCAAGCCUUCACCAUCGGGCUGUCCAGCUUUGACAGCAAGCUGGCAUGUGAAUGAGAAGCAGCAAGCAGGGGAUUUCUUCACCACAGAGCCUUCAGGAACAGAAAGCUGCUGCCCCCGCCCCCUG